AUUGAACGCUGGCGGCAUGCUUUACACAUGCAAGUCGAACGGCAGCGCGGGCUUCGGCCUGGCGGCGAGUGGCGAACGGGUGAGUAAUACACCGGAACGUGCCCAGUAGUGGGGGAUAGCUCGGCGAAAGCCGGAUUAAUACCGCAUACGACCUGAUGGUGAAAGCGGGGGAUCUUCGGACCUCGCGCUAUUGGAGCGGCCGAUGGCAGAUUAGCUAGUUGGUGGGGUAAAGGCCUACCAAGGCGACGAUCUGUAGCUGGUCUGAGAGGACGACCAGCCACACUGGGACUGAGACACGGCCCAGACUCCUACGGGAGGCAGCAGUGGGGAAUUUUGGACAAUGGGCGAAAGCCUGAUCCAGCAAUGCCGCGUGUGUGAUGAAGGCCUUCGGGUUGUAAAGCACUUUUGGCGGGAACGAAAAGGACUGUGCCAAUACCACGGUUCGAUGACGGUACCCGCAGAAUAAGCACCGGCUAACUACGUG
RNAcentral lists this ribosomal RNA (484 nucleotides) under uncultured bacterium. RNAcentral's name for it is "partial 16S ribosomal RNA". It matches the Rfam family "Bacterial small subunit ribosomal RNA", at positions 29 to 507 of the family's 1533-position model. The record is from RNAcentral.